Molecule: RNA transcript, 1981 nt
Organism: Eucalyptus grandis
Lineage: Eukaryota; Viridiplantae; Streptophyta; Magnoliopsida; Myrtales; Myrtaceae
Gene name: beta-hexosaminidase 1
Exons: 15
Source: RefSeq, a predicted model, not a curated record
AUGGAGUCCGUACCAAAGGAGGAGAUUGGAGGGUGGAGAGGGAGUGACUGCAAGCUUCGAUCGCGAGGGCAGAGAGAUGACAGGGAGACGAAGCCGCUGCUUCUCCUUCCUCGUCUCAACAUCCACCGCCGCCAAACAACCUCACCUUCCAUCCCGCGAACCCAGCCCCACCACCAUUUUGCUCCGGAAAUGAGGAGGUUCGUCCGGUCAGCGAAGCGGAUAUAUCUUGGGGUGGAUGAGAGCUACACCUUACUCGUGACGAAGAGUGAUGGCAAAUCCAUGAUCGGAGAGGCGACAAUUGAGGCAAAUACUGUUUAUGGUGCAUUACGAGGAUUGGAGACAUUCAGCCAAUUAUGUACCUUUGAUUAUAGUACAAAGUUGGUACUUGUGCACAAGGCUCCAUGGUGUGUCCGAGAUGAGCCAAGGUUUGCAUAUUGUGGACUACUACUUGAUACCUUGAGGCACUGCUAUCCUGUCGAUGUGAUUAAGCAUAUACUGGAUUCCAUGUCAUAUGCUAAACUAAAUGUCCUUCAAUGGCACAUGAUAGACGAACAGUCAUUUCCUCUGGAAGUGCCUACCUAUCCUAAGUUGUGGCAAGGGGCGUAUACAAAAUGGGAGCGAUAUACAGUUGAGGAUGCAUAUGAAAUAGUGAACUUUGCCAAAAGUAGAGGAAUCCAUGUGAUGCCUGAAGUAGAUGUCCCUGGUCAUGCAGAAUCAUGGUAUCCUGAAUUAUGGCCUUCUAAAUCCUGUAGAGAGCCACUUGAUGUUUCUGAAAGUUCUACUUUUGACUUAAUUUCUGGCCUAUUAUCAGAUAUGAGAAAAAAUUUCCCCUUUGAGCUGUUUCACUUGGGUGGUGAUGAGGUUAACACAGAUUGUUGGACAUCCACCCCUCAUGUGAACCAGUGGCUCCAAAACCAUAACAUGACUGGCAAAGAUGCAUACAAGUAUUUUGUACUCAAAGCUCAAGAAAUUGCCAUUUCAAAAAAUUGGACCCCUGUCAACUGGGAGGAAACAUUUAAUGCAUUUCCCCAGAGCAUUAAUCCAAGGACAAUAGUACAUAACUGGCUGGGACCAGGUUAUGUCCAAAGGCUGUCGCAAAGGGCUUUAAAUGCAUUUUCAGCAGUCGAGGCGUUUGGUAUCUAGAUCAUUUAGAUGUGCCAUGGGAUCAAGUCUACACUGCAGAGCUCCUCGAAGGAAUAAGUGAUGCUUCCAAACAAAAACUUGUGAUUGGUGGUGAAGUUUGCAUGUGGGGGGAGACAGCCGAUACCUCUAAUGUCCAGCAAAUGAUAUGGCCUAGAGCUGCUGCUGCUGCAGUGAAGUUGUCUCUACAUCCCUUCACGUAUGAUCGGUCCCGAUGGUGAUCUCUUUUUUUGGGGUCAUGGCCAAUUACUUGUUAUCAUCAUCUCAUAAUCUGUAAAGCAGUUUCUCUAGAGUAAUAUAUAUCACAAAAAGGGGUCAAGUUGGAUAUCACCCAAUGGUGACCGAUUGGGUUGCAUGGAUUUUGAAGACAUACGGGGUAGCUGGGGGUUUUACCAUUUAUCCUUAAAGCCUUUUUGAUACUAUGUUUUGUGCUGAGGUAAUGAAUGGCGUAUAGUCCUUUCUCUUUCGGUGAAUGAACUAUAUCGUUAGAAAUCAGUCUUUUAAGUGAUCGAAAUGUAGAUGGAACAUACAAACAACUUUUGGCAUGGGAAAUGGCUGUCUGGGGUAAGGAACUGCUUAUGGCCUUUGAUUGUGUUUCCCCAACUCCCCAAACCUUAACUUGCCAGUUCAUGCAUUUUCUUCUCCUUUUCCAUUGGUGUAUCGCAUUUGUGCAAAUCCUCCUCAAACUCAUAGUAGCCCCCGGAAUGGUAUCUUUUUCUUGUCUUAGCUUUCUCUUCUUGGCGUGGCCAGGAGCGCUUGAAUGCUUAGUACUAGUUACAGGUGUAAUAUGCAAUGUUGUAGACAGACUACUUGAGGCUAAUAAGAAAUUGAACCAAUGCAA